GCGGGUAUGGCGGAAUUGGUAGACGCGCAUGUUUCAGAUACAUGUGGCAAUAUGUCGUGGGAGUUCAAGUCUCCCUAUCCGCA
This 83-nucleotide transfer RNA is filed under the name Prochlorococcus sp. SP3034. RNAcentral describes it as "tRNA-Leu". It matches the Rfam family "tRNA". Rfam says of the family: Transfer RNA (tRNA) molecules are approximately 80 nucleotides in length. The record is from RNAcentral. Lineage: Bacteria; Bacillati; Cyanobacteriota; Cyanophyceae; Synechococcales; Prochlorococcaceae.